GCAUAUCAAUAAGCGGAGGAAAAGAAACCAACUGGGAUUGCCUUAGUAACGGCGAGUGAAGCGGCAAAAGCUCAAAUUUGAAAUCUAGUGCCUUCGGUACUCGAGUUGUAAUUUGAAGAAUUUAUCUCCUUUCCAAACCUUUAUCUAUGUUCCUUGGAACAGGACGUCAUAGAGGGUGAGAAUCCCGUGUGAUUUUGGAUUUGGAAUUUUGUGAGAUUUAUUCGAAGAGUCGAGUUGUUUGGGAAUGCAGCUCUAAGUGGGUGGUAAGUUCCAUCUAAAGCUAAAUAUUGGCAAGAGACCGAUAGCGAACAAGUACAGUGAUGGAAAGAUGAAAAGAACUCUGAAGAGAGGGUGAAAAAGUACGUGAAAUUGCUGAAAGGGAAGGGCUUUAGGUCAGACUUGGUGUUUAAUACUCAGUUCUCCUUGUGGGAGCUGCUCUUGUUUUUCACUGGGCCAAUAUCAGUUUUGGCGAUAGAGCACCUCUGGAAAUGUAGCUAUCUUCGGAUAGUGUUAUAGUCUGGGGACGAUCUAUUGCUGGGACUGAGGUCUGCGCUUUUGCUAGGAUAUUGGCAUAAUGACCUUAAGCCGC
This 589-nucleotide ribosomal RNA is filed under the name Saccharomycopsis cf. fermentans UWOPS 03-421.5. RNAcentral describes it as "LSU rRNA". It matches the Rfam family "Eukaryotic large subunit ribosomal RNA", at positions 38 to 648 of the family's 3401-position model. Lineage: Eukaryota; Fungi; Ascomycota; Saccharomycetes; Ascoideales; Saccharomycopsidaceae. The record is from RNAcentral.